AUUGAACGCUGGCGGCAUGCCUUACACAUGCAAGUCGAACGGUAACGCGGGGGCAACCCUGGCGACGAGUGGCGAACGGGUGAGUAAUAUAUCGGAACGUGCCCAACAGUGGGGGAUAGCCCGGCGAAAGCCGGAUUAAUACCGCAUACGCUCGCAAGAGGAAAGUGGGGGACCGCAAGGCCUCACGCUGCUGGAGCGGCCGAUAUCUGAUUAGCUAGUUGGUGGGGUAACAGCCUACCAAGGCCACGAUCAGUAGCUGGUCUGAGAGGACGACCAGCCACACUGGGACUGAGACACGGCCCAGACUCCUACGGGAGGCAGCAGUGGGGAAUUUUGGACAAUGGGGGCAACCCUGAUCCAGCAAUGCCGCGUGUGUGAAGAAGGCCUUCGGGUUGUAAAGCACUUUUGUCCGGAAAGAAAUCCCUUGGGCUAAUACCCCGGGGGGAUGACGGUACCGGAAGAAUAAGCACCGGCUAACUACGUG
RNAcentral lists this ribosomal RNA (484 nucleotides) under uncultured bacterium. RNAcentral's name for it is "bacterial SSU rRNA". It matches the Rfam family "Bacterial small subunit ribosomal RNA", at positions 29 to 507 of the family's 1533-position model. The record is from RNAcentral.